GUGGCUGUAUCUCAGUGGUAGAGCACUUGCCUGGUGUGUGUGAGGCACUGGGUUCAAUCCUCAGCACCACA
This 71-nucleotide transfer RNA is filed under the name Marmota marmota marmota (Alpine marmot). It matches the Rfam family "tRNA". From Rfam's summary of the family: Transfer RNA (tRNA) molecules are approximately 80 nucleotides in length. RNAcentral also lists the same sequence under 1 other name. The record is from Rfam by way of RNAcentral. Lineage: Eukaryota; Metazoa; Chordata; Mammalia; Rodentia; Sciuridae.